GCUUAGCCCUGAUUGCAAUGGAAAUCCUUUUACUUUUUUCUUUAAAAAGGAAAAGAUUGAAAUGGAAAGCAGGAAUAGCU
RNAcentral lists this small RNA (80 nucleotides) under Flavobacterium aquatile LMG 4008 = ATCC 11947. RNAcentral describes it as "Flavobacterium aquatile LMG 4008 Flavo-1 RNA". It matches the Rfam family "Flavo-1 RNA". Lineage: Bacteria; Pseudomonadati; Bacteroidota; Flavobacteriia; Flavobacteriales; Flavobacteriaceae. The record is from Rfam by way of RNAcentral.